AACCCAUGGUAAGGGAACCUUCUCAAUAAGUCCUUAUACCUCUCCCAUGCAUCGUAAAGAGUUUCUAAAUCUAUUUGUAAAAAAGAAGAGAUAUCAUUCCUCAACUU
Small nucleolar RNA from Gossypium arboreum, 107 nucleotides. It matches the Rfam family "Plant small nucleolar RNA R71". From Rfam's summary of the family: R71 is a member of the C/D box family of snoRNAs containing the C (UGAUGA) and D (CUGA) box motifs. NCBI's taxonomy places the organism in Eukaryota, Viridiplantae, Streptophyta, Magnoliopsida, Malvales, Malvaceae. The record is from Rfam.